GAGGGGCAGCGGGGUAGUAAGCUUGCUUACUACUGCCGGCGACCGGCGCACGGGUGAGUAACACGUAUGCAACCUGGCCGUCACAGAGGGAUAACCGGGAGAAAUCCCGCCUAAUACCGCAUAAUACCGGGGAAGGACAUCCUUUUCCGGUCAAAGGAGCGAUCCGGUGACGGAUGGGCAUGCGCCGCAUUAGUUAGUUGGCGGUGUAACGGACCACCAAGACGACGAUGCGUAGGGGUUCUGAGAGGAAGGUCCCCCACACUGGUACUGAGACACGGACCAGACUCCUACGGGAGGCAGCAGUGAGGAAUAUUGGUCAAUGGGCGAGAGCCUGAACCAGCCAAGUCGCGUGAGGGAAGACGGUCCUAUGGAUUGUAAACCUCUUUUGUCGGGGAGCAAAAAGCGGUACGUGUACCGCAUCGAGAGUACCCGGAGAAAAAGCAUCGGCUAACUCCGUGCCAGCAGCCGCGGUAAUACGGAGGAUGCGAGCGUUAUCCGGAUUUAUUGGGUUUAAAGGGUGCGCAGGCGGCGAGUUAAGUCAGCGGUAAAAUUUCGGGGCUCAACCCCGACGAGCCGUUGAAACUGGCUUGCUAGAGUGGGCGAGAAGUAUACCCAACGCGUGGUGUAGCGGUGAAAUGCA
This 640-nucleotide ribosomal RNA is filed under the name uncultured bacterium. RNAcentral's name for it is "bacterial SSU rRNA". It matches the Rfam family "Bacterial small subunit ribosomal RNA", at positions 64 to 690 of the family's 1533-position model. The record is from RNAcentral.